AUUGAGCGCUGGCGGCAGGCUUAACACAUGCAAGUCGAGCGGGGUGAUGGUGCUUGCACUAUCACUUAGCGGCGGACGGGUGAGUAAUGCUUAGGAAUCUGCCUAUUAGUGGGGGACAACAUCUCGAAAGGGAUGCUAAUACCGCAUACGUCCUACGGGAGAAAGCAGGGGAUCACUUGUGACCUCGCGCUAAUAGAUGAGCCUAACUCGGAUUAGCUAGUUGGUGGGGUAAAGGCCUACCAAAGCGACGAUCUGUAGCGGGUCUGAGAGGAUGAUCCGCCACACUGGGACUGAGACACGGCCCAGACUCCUACGGGAGGCAGCAGUGGGGAAUAUUGGACAAUGGGGGGAACCCUGAUCCAGCCAUGCCGCGUGUGUGAAGAAGGCCUUAUGGUUGUAAAGCACUUUAAGCGAGGAGGAGGCUCUUUUGGUUAAUACCCAAGAUGAGUGGACGUUACUUGCAGAAUAAGCACCGGCUAACUCUGUGCCAGCCGCCGCAGUAA
This 503-nucleotide ribosomal RNA is filed under the name uncultured bacterium. Its description in RNAcentral is "partial 16S ribosomal RNA". It matches the Rfam family "Bacterial small subunit ribosomal RNA", at positions 30 to 523 of the family's 1533-position model. The record is from RNAcentral.